GGGUUGCUCGGCGUUGGUCCUGGAAAUUUAUCUUUAGUGGCUCAAACUGACACGGGCUAUUUUAGAGUCUUUUGUUACUGUCUUCCAGCAUCAGAGAACUCUGCUGGGUAUCUUUCGUUUGGUGUUCAAGCAUUUGAAAAUUGUCAACCUGAUGAAAAUAAGUUGAUACCAAUCUCACUUGGUUUAAACCAAAACGCAUAUAGUUAUUUUGUGACCCUUACAGGCAUAACAAUUGGCCAACAGAGAUUAGACAUAUCUGGCAAUGUAUCUUCACCACUAAAAGCCAUUAUAGACUCAGGAACCUCCAUCUCUCGCCUACCAUUUUCCUUGUAUUCUGCCCUUCGCCAAGCAUUUCGGAGAUUGAUGUCCCAAUACCCUACUGCUUCUCCAUCGCAAAAUUUCGAUACAUGCUAUAACCUUGAGGGGCAAAACAAUUGGACACCACCAAAAAUGGUGCUACAUUUUGAAGGUGUGGAUCUAGAUUUGGACCCAUCAGCGGUUACAUUCAGAGAGAAGGAUAAUAAUGCUCAGGUUUGCUUGGCUUUUAUGGCAAACGAAAAUGAUAGUGACUUAACAAUAAUAGGUAAUCAACAACACCGCGAGAUGAACGUUUUCUUUGACAUCAGUAAUCAAAAGUUGGCAUUUACAAGCGGUGGUUGCUCAAAUUGGUAACCGGCAAAUCAUUGCCAAAAUCCUACUAGUUACUAUGAGCUAAUCAGCUGAUCCAAUCUGCUCAUUUUGCUUCUGUUUUAUAAGUGUAUUAUAAUAAUUAGUCCUUUCCCAUUAGUAAUGGGUUCACUUGCAU
RNAcentral lists this unclassified non-coding RNA (805 nucleotides) under Hevea brasiliensis (rubber tree). Lineage: Eukaryota; Viridiplantae; Streptophyta; Magnoliopsida; Malpighiales; Euphorbiaceae. The record is from RNAcentral.